This is a small nucleolar RNA of Rhinolophus ferrumequinum (greater horseshoe bat), 137 nucleotides long. NCBI's taxonomy places the organism in Eukaryota, Metazoa, Chordata, Mammalia, Chiroptera, Rhinolophidae. The record is from Ensembl.
AACCCCAUUCCUGAGAAUGGGCACCAUUGAUCCUGGUGCCCAGAAAUUCUUAAUGGGGCUGCAUUGAGACACAGGUUAUGUUUCCAUCACAGACUCCCAAACUUAUUGCUGUGAUGACAACGAGACCUGUACCUUUU